AAAGCUCCCUUCGGGGAGCAAGUAGAGUGGCGCACGGGUGAGUAACACGUAGGUAAUCUACCUUCGGAUGGGGAAUAACAACCGGAAACGGUUGCUAAUACCGCAUAAUGCAGCGGCACCUAAUGGUGACAGUUGUUAAAGCGGGGGAUCGUAAGACCUCGCGUCUGAAGAGGAGCCUGCGGCAGAUUAGCUAGUUGGUAAGGUAACGGCUUACCAAGGCGAUGAUCUGUAGCCGGCCUGAGAGGGCGGUCGGCCACACUGACACUGACAUACGGGUCAGACUCCUACGGGAGGCAGCAGUCGGGAAUUUUGGGCAAUGGGCGAAAGCCUGACCCAGCAACGCCGCGUGAAGGAUGAAAUCCCUCGGGAUGUAAACUUCGCAAGAACGGGAAGAAUAAGUGAGGGUUAAUAUCUCUCGCGAUGACGGUACCGUUUGUAAGCUCCGGCUAACUCCGUGCCAGCAGCCGCGGUAAUACGGGGGGAGCAAGCGUUGUUCGGAUUUACUGGGCGUAAAGGGCGCGUAGGCGACCACCGCAAGUCGACUGUGAAAUCUCCGGGCUUAACCCGGAAAGGUCAGCCGAUACUGCGGGGCUAGAGUGCAGAAGGGGCAACUGGAAUUCUCGGUGUAGCGGUGAAAUGCGUAGAUAUCGAGAGGAACACCUGCGGCGAAGGUGGGUUGCUGGGCUGACACUGACGCUGAAGCGCGAAAGCUAGGGGAGCGAACGGGA
RNAcentral lists this ribosomal RNA (728 nucleotides) under uncultured bacterium. RNAcentral's name for it is "bacterial SSU rRNA". It matches the Rfam family "Bacterial small subunit ribosomal RNA", at positions 70 to 777 of the family's 1533-position model. The record is from RNAcentral.